This 13981-nucleotide long non-coding RNA is filed under the name Malus domestica (apple). RNAcentral's name for it is "long non-coding RNA (MDOM_LNC015851)". Lineage: Eukaryota; Viridiplantae; Streptophyta; Magnoliopsida; Rosales; Rosaceae. The record is from RNAcentral.
CUUCCGCAAGUCUGGCUUAGCCAGGAACCAUCAACCAUAAGCAAUAAGAUCUGCACGGCCCUCAGCCACAGCAUUGUUCCCAUCUUCCCUGUCAUAACCACUAGCAGCAAUGAAGGUACCAUUAAAAGCCUUUCUCAUGGGUACAAAGACUCUGGGGGCUAUCACAUUUUUCUCCAGCUGUCUUCAUCCUAGGCUCAACCAUAUGGCAGUACGGGAUCCCAUAUUUGUUCAACAAAUUGGCCAGAUAAAGGCCCAACGCUUUCGGAUCUGAAUCCCCUGAUUCCAUAUAGCUGGCAAAUGGAGAUAAUCUAAUUCCAACUUUAUCCGCUCCUAUCUCAUUAACAACAGCUUCAACGACUUCCAGAGCAAAUCGACAACGAUUAUCCAAUGAUCCCCCAUAUUAGUCUGAUCGAUCAUUCACUUGAUCUUUUAGAAACUGAUCAAUAAGGUGUCCAUGGGCCCCAUGAAUUUAUACUCCAUCAAAGCCUUUAUAUCAGACAAAUAAUUUCAGUGCACCAAAUAUUAUUUGUAAUCUAGCAUGAAUCACACAUCUAGUUAAACUGCAAUUAACGCCCUUAACUACAUUUAUAAGAUUAGAGAUGGUUUGUUUACUUCUGUUGAAAGUAAUUUUGAGUUCUCGCCAAUGUUUUAAAAGGCUCACCUCAGGGCGGGUAUAGACGCCCUAUGAGGCUGGACUUGAGGAUUGCCGCCUAGGUGGCAGAAGGCGUGCCUCAGGGCUUUUUUUUUUUUUUAAUAAGUCCCAAACCUUUUGGAUAGGGUAUUAACUGUCUCAUACCUCUUCCUUGCACUAUCGUCUCUCUGCCUUUUUUUCUGAUUUUUAUUUUUUAUAUAAUGGAUGUAUGUGUUGUCUACAUGCAUUGUUAUAUGUGUGCUCAUUGUGUUUUUUAUCCUCAAUUAUUGUUCGAGCCCAAAAAUAUUGGUUUGGGCCGAGUUUAGAAUUGUUCUCGGCCCAGUAUUGGUUGGGCUGAGUUUAGAAUUGUUCUCGGCCCAGAGGUCGUGUUUAGGUGUCGUUGGGGGUUAUCCAACUCAUGGGCCGCGCAGUCGAAGCUGGCCAUAUCUCGUCAAGAACCUGUGGGAUAUGGGUGAGUUCUAUUACGAGAAGGAGUUUCGACAUGAUAAGGAUGUUAGAGUUUGAGAUUGAAUGCGGCCUGAUAACGAGUAAGUUCAAAGUCCUAGUAGGAGUAGGACUGGCUGAGAUAAGGUUGGAUCGGGGAAAGGAAUUCUAAUCCAAGAAUGAUUGGGAUUCAAUACAGGUUGGCUACUAUAAAUAAGGAGGGAGGACAUCGAACAAAGCCCCUCCAAUUCAACACACAAAUUGCCCUACGCAAACCCUUACUCUACUCAAAACCUCUCAACAAUCUUGAGAUUUUUGUUUUCCUUUUUCGCCAACACAUCUUCAGUUUGGAUAAACAGCACUGUGAAGGCAACCGACGAACAUCUUCAGUUUGGAUAAACAGCACUGUUGCCGUAGAAUCAGCCGACUGUGAAACACCUUCAGUUUGGAUAAAUAGCACUGCGACCUGGCCAACUGGUUAUCUAUCCAAGUCUCGGUCGAGAAAGAUUUUUGAAUCCUUAUUGGCAGAGGUUAUCUCGUUAGCCUUCUCGGCGAAGUGAGGUGUUACAAGUUACCAUACUCAGCAUACUGAACGUCGAGUUGUUUAUGAUUGGGUAUUUACAAGUAGGUUUUAGAGUUCGGCAUUCUGACGGCCAAACCACUUUCACAAUCAAGACGUACAUUUGUUUUGAGUACUUGUGCCCAUAUAGUCUGGUGUCGAUUCGGCGUGUUUAUACUUUAACAAAUAUAAUCACCAUGACCGAAUCCGGCACCGAUGAUUUAUGAACUUCGCAGAACUAGUAGCCUUGUCUUCAGGCUCUAGAACCCGAAGGCCGAGAGUGGUCCUUCCUCAGCCACAGUUGCAAGAUCAAAAAGUCAGUCGCGCGCUCAAUGCAACAUCACCAUAUUUUACUCCUCGACCAAGCUCGGCCGACAAGUUGGCAUGCCCUGCAUACAAUUGAAGGACGUAGUUAGCUUGUUAAUUACUCGGCCUGCAUGCCACGUAGGCAUAGUAGUUUUUUGGGUCAACAUUUUGGCAAAACCGGUGGGACCCAGUGCUAAAACUACGAAGUUCAUGACCAUCGAGACACGAUCGGUAAAAAAGAAAACAACCAUGGGAAAAUCAGCGACCAAUCUGCCGAUUCAGAGUCCUGGACAAGAGGUGUCACAUGCGUGAAAUCCUAUUGUCGCUGUGACCCCUGAGGCUGCAAGUGUAACACACCAAGAAAAGGAAGUGUGCCUCGGUACCUAGCCUCGAAAUGCAUAAGUACCCAACCGAACCGCAGGCGUUUUCAUUGAAAGAAUAGUGGAUGACUGCGACGAAGAAGAUGGCGAAGGCUUUGACCCUCCGACUAGGUCGUUUCUUCGAAGAUGACUUGAUAAGCAAUCUCGACAAGUUGAACAGACAGUUGGUCAAAAAAUGAACAGUUUGCUCGAAGUGAUAUGAAGCAAUAGUGAGACCCACACCAGAUUACUCGAACUAUUAGUUAGCAAAGUCUUCGAAUGAGGAUCGGUUGAUCAGGCUCAGCCCAAAAGUAGUGUCUACUCGGUCCAAAACGAUUGACUUAGAAAAAAAUGGAGGAUCAAGUAGUAGGUCAGAUGGAUCCGACCAGAGAGUGGAAGCAACAUCCGUCGAUGUGACCGAGAUCCAACGAAUGAUCGAUUCAGCCAUGAAAAAAAGGCCGAAGUUCCCGAAAUUCAUGCACCCAUAUCCAGCUUAUGUGGAAAAGUUCAAAUAUCCUAAAGGUUUCGAGAUUCCAGAUUUCAACCUUUUUGUUGGAGAAUCAUCCUUAUCCACGUUAUAACACGUGGCUCGUUUCACUGCGCAAUGUGGAGAUGUCAAUAGUGAUUUUCAUAAACUACCGUUGUUCAACUUUUCGUUGAUAGGCUCAACAUUCGCAUGGUAUAUCAACCUCCCAUCUAAUUCUAUCCAAAGCUGGAAGGAGUUGGUCGAGAAAUUUCACGAACAGUUUUAUCGCCCGGGGAUGGAAAUGUCAAUUUCUUCAUUGGCUAGGAUGGCUCAAGCAUCUGAUGAGUCACCAAUGGAUUAUCUUACAAGAUUUAAAUCGGCCAGGAAUUGGUGCCGAGUACCUCUUCCCGAAGUCGAAUUUGUUAAGCUUGCCCUGAAUGGGCUCAACGUUGAGUACAAAAAGAAAUUCUUGGGGGCAAACUUUCGGGAUAUGUAUGAAUUAGCCCAGCAUGUCGAGCAAUAUGAUUAUUUGCUCCAAGAAGAAAAGAUCUCGAAAUCCCCAUCCCAAGGAACGAUUUACAAAAAUCUUACGAUCAACUACGUAUCGACCGAAUGCGAAGAUUCCCAAUACGUCAGUGUGGAUGCGACCGAGAUAGUAAUAGAUAAACCAUAUGUUUGCAAGGCAUUGACUCAACUUAAUUCCAAGGAUGCCAAAACCCGCUCGGCCACUGAGGAGACGGCGAAAACAUCGAAAGUUUACACUUUUGAUAUCACAAAGGCAGAGGCAAUUUUCGAUCAAUUGUUAUUAGCAAAGAUCAUCAAACUUCGGCCAUGACAUAACAUUCCCAAAGCCAAAAAGCUUAAAGGAAAGACGUAUUGCAAGUAUCAUAAUUCGACCAAGCACAAACAACUGUGUCGUAUUCCGUGAUGAUAUCCAGAGCUGGAGUGAUGAAGGCAAGCUAAAGUUUCCCGAAAAACGGAUGACGGUCGACGUUGAUCCAUUCCCUUCGGCAACAGUCAACAUGGUAGACGCCCGUUUACCCAAGAGCAAAGGGAAAGGGAUGGCUAAGUUUGUCCCAGUACAACACGUCCCAAAGAAACAUUCCCAGUCACGACUCAAGAUCAACCUAUUUUCCAUUGAACCACCUACCAAGUUUUUAGGACCAGCUAUAGUUGAAUCCAUGUCAGAUUCCAGUGUAGAAGAAAGUGAUGGGCCGAUAAACAGUCAAGAGAGUGUCCUCAUUUUUUUUAAAAAACGGGGAUCCAUCUUGUUAAGGGAUUCCUUUGCGUAUGUACCUUGGUGUAGUUUCGAUCCUCGCAGAUUCGCUUCCUCCUAAACCCAAAACCACUUAGACUUUCUUAACUUUCUUAACUUUUGAAAUCUACUACAUAUGUUACCUUCCAUCUUUUUUUCUGUAAAAACAUGUUGCCACUCACGUGGAGGGAUAUUUUUCCGUCAAUCCACUUCCUAGAGCUCACUGCAAUCAAUUUGCACAAAGACAAAAUACAUUUUUUUUAGUAGCGUUAGAGUCGGGUCACGAAGAGACGGGUUUGAUUUUGACAAGGGUUGUUGAAGAAUUGAAGUGAAAAUGAUUGUUGGCAUCUACAUUUGUAGAAUUUGGUAGAUGGUGGCUGCUUGUGUUUUUAUUUGGGGGGGGGGGGGGGGGGUUUUGGUUCUUUAUUACUUAGACUGACUAAAAAUUCAAAUUAUUUAUUGUUUAACAUUGUAGUAUGUGUUUUGUGUCAGUUUUGUUGUGUUGGUGUAUAGGAUAAUUUGCUAAAGACAAUAGUCUUAGUCUAUUAGGUCCUUAUGCACAUUCAUUGUUUUAAAAAUCUCUGCCUAGCAUAGCACUGUCUAGGCGUUAGGAGGCUGACCACCAUUCUGAUUAAUUAAUAAAUAGCGCCUAGACUGCUUAGGCACCCGUCUAGGUCGCAACUCUUAUUUAGAUAGAAAAUAGAUAACUUUCAUUUUACAUUUUAUUUGUUUCAGUAUAUUGUAAGAGACUUAUUGGAUACUGAGAUGGACAUACAUUAUAUGUUUAUUCCUCAUGUUUUCAUUAUGUUCUAAUACUUUAUAAUUUAUGUCAUUCUAUUUUAUAAUUUAUGUAUUUCAGUGAAAUUAUCUAUUUUUUAAGUAUAAGCAGAUACUUAUUUAUACGAUAUAUCGUAGAUACUUAUUUAUACGAUAUAUCGUAAAUUUUAUUCACAUCCGCCUAGGCCCCCGCCUAGGUGCUAGACCACAGCCAUUGCCUGACUACUGCUAAACCUCAGCCCGCCAUCCGACUAACACCUGGCGUCUAUUAGAAUCUUGUGCAGAAUUUCAUGACCCCCAUUAUUUAGUUUAGCUUCACUCUUGGAGGUUAAAGUGAAAGCAUGCCUUAAAUAACCAAAAAGAGAUUUAUGCAAUUUCAACAUUGAUUGUAAUAGAGGAGCAGUUAGCAUCAUGCUAAUGUUGGAGUAGAAGAGAUUUGUAACAGAGAAAGCUCAACCAAAUAUCUUACAAAGUAAUUUGGUGGAUGUGGAUGUGCGAGAACAUGAAGCAUAGAAAAGAUUGACGAAGCUGAUGAUGUACGUAGAUUACGCGCAGAAUGUAGAAGAACCAGAGAGCCUGAUGGGUACAACUUGGAAGAACUUAGAAGCCUAUAUGGGAACUCAUCUAGUGAUGAAGAACCGGAUUCAAUGAGAAGGAAUAGGAGGAAGAAGAAACGACCUAAGUUUAAACAUCAUAGAAAAGAAACUGAUGUCAGUACCAUAGAGUUUGAUUUGGGGAUGUCUUUUCUUGUUAGACUAAACAUAAAAACCAAGUUCAUGUAACAUGAAUCACAGCCAUCCAAAAACAAACUGUAGUUCAUAACUAUUGUACAGAGUAGAAAUCUGCAGAUGCACCAGAAGAAGAAGCCAUAGUCAAUCUCAACAGCAAAACUAGUAAACCUUCUCCUCUUUCUAGAUUCAAAAUGCUCAAACUAAUAAUAGGUCUUAGUCCAAGACAGAGCGUAAUAUCUGACGAAUUACCAAUUCUCCAGACUCAUGCUCAUAUUCUUACAUUUCCAAGUUCCAAGGAAUUCAACGAAGCUGUAAAUAGACACUUUUAUAAUAUGCAGGUCUUACAAGUUAACCACAAAUGGUUGGUACAAGGUUAAGGCUCAAAUUCAUGCCCUUGGCAAGUUAUGCUUCUAAUGACCAAUCUGAUAGACAUUCUCCUUUAUAUGUAAAAACAUUUGUUCCAAAUCACACUUGUGGAAAAGAUGAAAACAAUACAAGUGUGACCAGUACUUGGUUGGCUGAUGAUAUGAAGAUCAAUCCCUUUUUCUUUUUUCUUUUUUUUUUUUUGAAUAAAGGACGGCAUAUAUAUAUGCAAAUCAAUCCUAAAAUGGAUGUUAAGACAAUGAAAGCUACAAUGAGGGAUUAUCCAUUCUAAUCCCUCUCCAAAUGAUAGGAUUGUGAGGGAUAAGUUUGUUUCAUUCCAAUCUAAACCUAGAGACGAAACGCGGCCAGAUAUUACAAAGACAAAGAUUCUAAAACAGCCUUCACUCAGAGAAUAAAAAAAGCCAUGCAGUGAGAACAUUUAAGGGAAACGAGUUGAUCCUCAAUAAAUGCCUCAAUAGAAUGACGUAUCUUUGUUAAAGCAUCUGCCACAAAAUUAGCUUCAUCUAAAACAUGAUAGAAGCUGAUAUGAUCAAGCAUCCCAUGUUUGCUGAAAAGAUGAAAGAAGGAUCUUUCCAAGUUUAGGAAGGUGGGAGUUGCCAAAGAGAAACCGAUUUGAGCCGCAUCUGCUCCAAAUAUCUCAGGCAAACGGUCAGCUGACAAAAUGCGGUCAAUGGCUUCAACAUCUUGAGAAUAAAAGGCACAACUAGGAUCAAUUGGUUGUACUUAGGGAUAAGAAUUGAGUUUCCUCUUUCACAAAUGUUACUUAUUCAUUCCGGCCAUUAUACGGUCAACAUUGAACAGAAAGUAUAACUUUUCCGGCCUCUAAGUCCGGAACCCUCCCAAACAUUGGACAUUACAAUACUAGAUAAUGCAAUAAGAUACAACAGUACAAUACAAUAUAGUUGAAAACAACCCAUCUAAGAUAGUACAGACUCAAUUGGAUGAAUCAAAGGAACCCUAGUGUUCAAGCUUCCAUCUUUGCGGUAAACUUAAGUGGUGGCUUCAAGAAAUGGAUAAUCAGUGUAGCCAAUCACGGGAUCAGGUAUGUAGAAUGUCUCUCUGUUGUACUUGUUUAGAGGAGCAUUAAGUUCAAAUCUCUUUGGCAAAUCCGGAUUCGCCAAGAAAAUACGGCCAUAAGCAAUAAGAUCUGCACGGCCCUCCGCCACAGCACUGUUUCCAUCUUCCCUGUCAUAACCACCACCAGCAAUGAAGGUACCAUGGAAAGCCUUUCUCAUGGGAAGAAGACUAUGGUGGGUUUCAGCUUUUUCUCCAACUGUCUUCAUCCUCGGCUCAACCAUGUGGCAGUACACAAUUCCAUAUUUGUUCAAGGCAUUGGCCAUAUAGAGGCCUAGUUCUUUUGGAUUUGAAUCCCCUGAGUCCAUAUAGUCAGCAAAUGGAGAUAAUCUAAUUCCAACUUUAUCUGCUCCUAUUUCGUUAGCGACAGCUUCAACAACUUCCAGAGGAAAGCGGCAACGAUUCUCUAGAGAUCCACCAUAUUGGUCUGUUCGAUCAUUCACAUGAUCUUUCAGAAACUGAUCAAGAAGGUAGCCAUGCGCCCCAUGAAUUUCAACUCCAUCGAAGCCUAUAUAGCAAAUUAACAAUUUCAACAUACUGACGGUAUUAGAACCUUAAGCAUUGUCGCUGAAUUACCAAACAAAUAAUGGUUAGUUAAUAAUAACAACGCUUUUAUUUUGCAUAAGCCUUGAAGCAAAUUGAGUUGUAAAUUUUGUUUCAUUUUAACGUAAAGACAAAUUACCAGCUUCAAUAGAAUUCCUUGCAGCAAGUCUAAAAUCAUUGACAAUUUGUGGAAUUUCAUCUGUCCUUAAUCGUCUUGGAGGUGUGAAUUCAGAAGCAUCAAUGCCAUUUAAUCGUAUCGGCUUGUCAGUAGAAGAUAUUGGAGCUUGCCCAUUUGGUUGAUAACCUGUAAGCAAGGAGAGAAAGAAUUACAACCUGAAGUCUAACGACAGUAACAAACAUCCACAGCAGCACUCUUUUAAGUGGGAAUCCCUUGUUACAAAUUACUAUAAAAUCGCUUGGUCUGAUGAACCACACGUGCUAUAUACUAGUUCUGAAUUCUGAGUUAUGUUAACAUCAAACUUUUUCCCAUCCAAUAAUAAUAAUAACAACGCUUCCGAAACAGCAAGGUCAUAAAAGUGGUGUCUUCUUAUGGGUUAUGUUAAAAACACCAACUCGGAACUUACAAAACACCAACUCGGAACUUAACAAGUCCAAGUUUUAUCGUCACUUGAGCAACAAUGUUGUCAAUUAUAAUCACUUGCUCGUUCUGAUGCAUACACCAUUAUGUUAUACAUCAAACUUCCUAAUCGGUCUAAUUAUUCACUCAUGUUAACAAAGCAUUCUAUGGUAAAAGUGAGGUCAUAAAGGUGCAAGUCAGAAACGCACCGCUAUUAGAAACCCUUCCAACAUGCCAAAUCUGACAGAAGAAGAUGCCACCUUUAGCAUGAACAGCAUCAACAAUGGGUUUCCAGGCUUCAACUUGCUCCUUUGUCCAUAUACCAGGUGUGUUGGGGUACCUUCGUAUAUUAAAGAAACAAAAAUUUCAUCAAACUUCGAAAUGGAAGAAGCACCCGUUUGUUAGUCUAUGAAUCUACUGUUGUUGAAAUUACCCUUGAGCUGUGUCGGAAACUCCAGUGGCUUCCGCUAUAAGAAGACCCCCGUUCGAGGUUCUCUGAGAGUAAUAUAAGAUAGCAUGUGGUUGAGGAACAUUGUUGUAUGAUCUCUGUCUGGUCAAUGGUGCUAAAACAAUUCUGGAAAGGAAAAAGAACUUGUAAAUUAUAAAUACAGAGUGAUCAAGACGGAAUGUGGCCGAGGAACAUUAUCGAAUGAUCUGUAUCUAGUCAUCAACGGUGAAAAUACAAUUCUAAAGAGGAAAAACAUAUAAUAAACCAUAAAUACAACCUUCAGACUUUGUAGGAAGCAUUAGUUUGCUAAGGCUCUUUGAUAACAAAUUUGCUUUUAGUUUUCUUGUUUUAGUUAAAAAGGAGAAACGAGGGAGGAAGAAGGAAAUUGGGACGAAAAAGUGUGAAAUAAAAACUCGAAUUGUAGACUAUCUGAAUUUGCUUUAUGUUUUUCAUUUUUGGUAGCUUUCCAUGCACGUUUUGUCCCUCAUCCAUCCCUUCCCCCUUCCUCUUCCUCCUUCCCCUCUUCUAUCAUGCAUUUUCUCUAUCCUUCACUUAAAAUUAAAAAUUAAAAAUCAAAUACGAAAUCGUUACCAAACACAACCUAAAUAAUGCAAUGUCUUACAAAGUGACCAUGGCCGAAAGGACACAUACUUUUAACAAUCAGUUGCAUCUAUUUUCAACAAUUAAUCAAUGACUCAAAUGUACUAUUGUUUUCAUUUAAUUUGUAACAUCGGUACUAUUUUAUAGACAAAGAUACAGUUCUAAGGACACUUCCUGUCUCCUUCCCAACAUCUGUACUAUUUUAUACCAACAGGAUGCUUUCUGGAUUCUUUUGGUAAUGAUUUUGGAGUUCCAUGAAUCGUAUUCGUUCAUCGUACAUCGAUCAGUUAGUUUUUGUAAAGUACUGUUUGUAUUUAAUUUUAAAUAAAAAUAUUUAAAAUAAUUUCUAACAGCACGAUAUACGAUUAACGUACGGGAUCCUGAGAUCCUCACAAGGAGGAUCCGGAUUCUAUUUUAUAGACAAAGAUACAGUAACAAACACUCCUUGUCUCCUUCCCCAAAUCAUUCUUCUUUUUUGUAUAGCUAUAUUUGACACACACACAUGAAUAAACUACACAGUACGCUAAACUUGAAUAUAGACAAGCAGUAAUUUCAUCUUCUAUUUUUCUUGUUAGCCAGCCAUCUGCAGACCUAGCUACUCUCUGAAUCCAAGUUCGGAUCCCCUCUCAUAGUUUUUACAACAUUAUAUUAAAAUAACGCCCGAAUAAAAUAAAUUAAACAAUUACACGACAGAGAAAUUUAAGAAAGUAAACAAAUAGGAACAAUGUAUGAAAGUUUUAAGUACCUAUGAGAAAGAUUGAAGUUUCCCAAUUUGUAGGGAGUGAGGAGAGGAAUUGUGGGAGGUUGAGCAGCAGCAGACAUCUCAGAAUUCGAGUCGGUCGUCUGCCACCUGAUCUUGCACUUGGCCUUUAUACUGGAUUCUGGGAUGAAGGAAGGAAGGAAGGAAGGAAUGAAUGAAUGAAUACAGGACCCAAUUGGGUCUUUAUACGUUCAGUAGGAGCUUAAAAGUCCGCCCUGCAGCUUUCCUCCACAUAAGUCAGAGAGGGCCGGGUCCCACAUCUCCCCUCCCUUGUGUGGUGUGGCGGCGGCGGACGUCGGUGGUGGAUCUCUCCAGAGCAUUAAUUGAACCGAUUAGGUGGAGAGGUAGGAAGGUUUGAUGAGGUCUGUAAUUACGUUUACGUGGGUUGAAAAAGGACGUCCACGGAAUUCGGGUGUAACGCUAGCCGCAUGUUCAUUUCGAUUUUGCUUUUUCAUCCCGCAUUAUUGGGCCAUGGUUUGAAUAGUAUAUUGUUUAGGUCCUUAAGGACCCUCUCCAACCAGAAGGGUUAAAACAUAACUCGGUCUAAAAUUAUAAUUUUGUAAAAAAAUUAAUUUUAAAUGAACAGUGUUAGAUAGCUAGGCUAUGAUUCUAUCAAUUUCUUAUGGAUAGCUAGGCUAUAAUUCUAUCGAGCUCACUAAGCAUCAUUUAGCUAAAGGGGCAUUAAGCUGGCUAAAUAUAGCCCCCUCUUAACCUUUUUUUGGGGUCCAGCUCCUCUACUGCACUAUUUGAGUCAAAUUCAACACCUAUAUUUGAAAACAUCCAACAGAAAUUUAAUUAAAUUAACCAAUAAAUUUAAUACAUAAACUUAAAACUAAAUAAUUAUUGAGAGGGUUAUGUUUAGCUACUUCGGUGAUAGUAUAUAAGUAUGGCCCGAUACUUUUCAGUUCUUUUGGUUGGAGAUGGCCUAAGGUCAUAAUUUUGAGGAUGUGAGAAUAAAUGCAUAUUAGUUACAAAUUUUUUAAUACAUCAAUAUUUUUACACUAAGGGGAGGGAGAGUUCGGUUAAGCCACACAAUGGGCAACCUAAUUUGGUAUCGAGUUUUCCAUUCACGAGAUUCGAACCUAAGACAUCUUACUUCCAAGUGAAUAGAAAUAUCACCAGACCGUAGUACUGAGUGACAGUUACAAAAUAAUAUUAGUUUAGAUCACUUGAAAUAUUUGACAACUUAAUAAAGAAAAUCCAUGAACCAUUAGAAAACUCAUUUUCUUUUUUUGUUUUAUUAAGUUGUCAAAUAUUUAAGCUUUUGGAUACAAACUAAUAUAAUCUUGUGGUUAAUAUGCAUUUGGUCCUCACAAAUCUUCAAAAUGAAAACCUUAAUUAAUCAAUGAAUUUAUGGCAAAUUAAUUAGUCUAGAAAUAAAAUACUCCAAUCAAUUAGCAUUGCACGAUUAAAAUGGAAAAUGACAAGGUUUAUAGAAUUUUGCAAAAAAUAUGUAAUGUAGGUGUUCCCUAACGAGUGCUUUUAACACAAUGGGCAUACUCUCUAUCGUGUAAAACUUUCUCGAGAAAUAAAGUUGAGAUUUAUUCAAAUCUGUACAAGGAAGUUUUUCUUUCGCAUCACUAUUUUUCUAUAAUCGUAAUUUUUUGGGCAUAUAGAUUCAUUGUAAGGAUGAAUUGCGUAUUUUUAUAGGGGUGUAUUUAAUUGGGAUUUUAUUUUUUUUUAAUGAAUCUUGAGGUAUUCAAUCAGGAUUUUAAGUGAUUCUCUAAAAUUCAAAGUGUAUUCAGUUAGAGUUUUAAGAUAGUUAUUAAAAUCCUUAGAAAUCCGGAUGUAGUCAAUUAGGAUUUUAAAGAAAUUUAUGACAUUCCGUGUAUUCAAUUAGAAAUUGAUUUUAAAGAACUUGAGAAAGUUAAGGAAUUUUAGAGAUUUUGUAGUGUAUUUUAAGCAUCCACAAAUCUCACCUCUCCCCAUGAGAUUUCGAGGAAGUUAAAUCAAAACUUUAUAUGGAAUCUCUACAAAUCAAUUAAACUCCAUAAAAAUCAAUGGAUUUAUAAAUCCAUUAAAGUUUCUCAAAUUCUCAAUUGAAUAUGGUUUGACAGGUUUUAAUUUUGAUCCAUGUCAUUUUCAAUUGGGGACUUUGUCAUGCAUAACAUAAUUUUUUACCGAGAUCCCUUUUUGGCCAAAAUAGGUUGCAUGGAAUAUUCUAACAAGAAAAAAAAAUCACAUUUGUAAGUAGUGUACUCUUCUGGUGGUUCAAACCAUUUCUCCUUUCCUUAUUAUAAUUUAGAGUACAAAUAAAGUUGUAUUCAACAAACAAUAAAGUCCUUGUGUACAUCAGGUAGAAUCAUUAAAGUUUCUCAAAUUCUCGAUUGAAUGUAAUUUGACAGGUUUAUUUUCAAUUGGGCAAAUUUAGACUUUGUCAUACAUAACAUAACUUUAUACCGAGACCCCCUUUCGGCCAAAAUAGGUUGCAUGGAAUAUUCUAACCAAAAAAAAAUCACGUUUGUAAGUAGUGUAUUCUUCUGAUGGUUAAAACCAUUUCUCCUUUCCUUAUUAUAAUUUAGAGUAGGAAUAACGUUGUGUUCAACAAACAAUAAAGUCCUUGUGCACAUCAAGUAGAAUCAUGAAAGAAAAAAAGGAAGAGAAAAAAUUUGCCAACAGUGGAUACUACUACAAUGUUUUUUUUACCAGGAGUUAAUUGGAGCCCAAUAUAACAUUCUUGCAUUAACGAGGGACGGUCAGGAAUAGAGAUUUAUAUCAUCCUUGAAUCCCAAAAGUAGAAUUAUCAUAACUUACCAAUUUUAUUAUAUGGAUAAUACUUGCAUUCCUUUCUUGAAAGGAUGAACUUAUUUGCACCAUGCAAAUAAUGUACAUUUAUCGUACAAAGUUCAUAAUCAAAAUUGUUCAAUUUAUUAAUCCUCAUACCCUUACAAAAGAAUUGGAGAUAAUUUAGUUAUUCAAAUGUACAAAACCAAUCAAAGACGUAGGUAUCAAGUACCAUAUUUAGGAUGAACUAUUCAUUUACGUGAUAUGUUUGAAUGGAUUAAACAAUUUCUGAUUCGAAUGAUUUUUUGCACGAAUGAUCUUCAAAUGAAAUUAAGAAAUUGAACAUGGCUCAUCAUUGAGUUUAUAUACUUAAGACAUGUCAUUCGCAAAUGGAGAAGACGAAUCAAAGAUAUAUCCAAAAGCCAGUUGAACAGAUGUACAAUCAAACGUCUAGAGGUUAAUUAUACUGUUAAUUUCCAAUAAUCAUAAUAUAAGAUCAUCACAAACUAUCUUUAUUAAAUUCAUUGGCACGGCAUGCAAUCAGUUAGCAUGUUCAAGUAACCACAAGAUACAACACUACACUUGAACUUGAUACAGAUCGAACAAUGCAGAAACUUACUAUACAAACGAGAAUUUUACAAUCUCGUCAGCCAAUUUCUGCCCCUCGAUUUGUUAUUUUCUCUAGUUAUCCAAACCGUGCAAGAAAAGCAACAAGAAAACAUGUACGCAGACUAAUGCGAGAAUUUCAGAAAGAAUAGAGUGUACAAGCUUCCAUAUGCUGCACGAAUCCUAUGCAGUGGUGUCAAGGAACGGAUAAUCAGUGUAGCCAAUAACCGGUUCAGACACGUAGAAUGUGCUUCUGUUGUACUUGUUCAGAGGAGCAUUAAGCUCAAACCUCUUCGGCAAGUCUGGGUUAGCCAAGAACCAACGACCAUAAGCAAUAAGAUCUGCACGGCCCUCAGCCACAGCAUUGUUCCCAUCUUCCCUGUCAUAACCACCAGCAGCAAUGAAGGUACCAUUAAAAGCCUUUCUCAUGGGUACAAGACUGUGGGGGCUAUCACAUUUUUCUCCAGCUGUCUUCAUCCUAGGCUCAACCAUAUGGCAGUACAGGAUCCCAUAUUUGUUCAACGAAUUGGCCAGAUAAAGGCCCAACGCUUUCGGAUCUGAAUCCCCUGAUUCCAUAUAGCUGGCAAAUGGAGAUAAUCUAAUUCCAACUUUAUCCGCUCCUAUCUCAUUAACAACAGCUUCAACGACUUCCAGAGCAAAUCGACAACGAUUCUCCAAUGAUCCCCCAUAUUGGUCUGCUCGAUCAUUCACUUGAUCUUUUAGAACUGAUCAAUAAG